Molecule: long non-coding RNA, 1282 nt
Organism: Rhodamnia argentea
Lineage: Eukaryota; Viridiplantae; Streptophyta; Magnoliopsida; Myrtales; Myrtaceae
Exons: 4
Source: RefSeq, a predicted model, not a curated record
UUCAAACAAAGAUUAUGUUAUUUUUUGAACUUUACUCCAACAUAACUGAAAUUAAGUCAAACCACACAAUUUAUACUCCACCGGUUACCGCUUGAGGCGGUAACCCUGAUAGCCGACCUCCGAUUCUAUUCAUUCAAGCCACUCCGUUCCGCUCCUCGUCUCUCUCGCAUUUUUUCUCUCGCGCACGCCAACCAAUUAAAUAAUUUCUCUCUGCAAUCUGCGUUCGUGUCGAUCUAUUCGUCGAUAUUGAGAAGAUGGCUUCAAACCGGAUCCGGAUCUUGAAGUACCGUGCUGGGGCUUCGAAGCAGUGGCGGAUCUUGAAGGAGCACAAGGAUCUCCAGAAUCUCCAGAAGGAUCGAUCCUCUUACCUCUUGCACCGCUGAAACAACCAUACAGCAGGAUCUUGUUCACAUCCUGAACUUUUCCCCAGAUUGUGCAUGCUAUGUGGGGAAAUCUUUCCAGAGGCAUAUGGUACGCCACCUGAAUAUAUGCCACUCAGCUGGAAAUAAUUCCAACCGAAGAUGCUCUUUGGUUUUGGCCUUGACCGAAGAAAUAUGCAAGUGAGAGCAUAAAGUAUACCAGAAAAAAAUGCCGUAGAGGACCAAUUUCUUCACUUGUGGUUCAACUACAUGAGCUUGUCGAUCCACAGGAUCAGAUAUCAAAUCUUGCAAUGGUCUAGUCUUGACCUUUUUCCUUCCUCCUUUGUGAUCGGAUUGUUCAUCUUGGAAGUCCAAGGUCAUCUUGCCUUCCUUUUGGAUUCUAUGCUGUGUAUAGCUUCCAGGUCAGACAUCCGAUUAGCCUAUUGGGCCAGUAAUAAAGCAAGUACAUACAUUUCCACAUUUUAAGGAGCUAAAGUUCAAGAUCGUUUGAACGCACAAAGGGAUCAAUCAAUCAAUCAUGUCUAGCGAGGAAUGUAGGAGGAGCUCUAGGAUGUCUAAACUGGAAGCUAGAAAUGCACAGCAUAGAAGCCAAAAGGAAGGCAAGAUGACCUUAGACUUCCAAGAUGAACAAUCCAAUCACAAAGGAGGUAGAAAGAAGGGCAAGACCAGACCAUUGUAAGAUCUGAUAUCUAAUCCAUUGGAUCAACAAGCUUAUGUGGUUGAACCACAAGCGAAGAAACUGGUACUCUACGGCAUUAUUUUCUAGUACACUUUAUGCUCUCACUCGCAUACUUAGUAUAGUUUGCAUGCCUGUACUUUUCUGUCUCGCCAUUCUCUGUCGAUUGUUAUACUACAUUUCUUUCCUGGAGUGCUUCUCAAAUAAAAAGUAUGACUUUGCUAAA